This 253-nucleotide ribosomal RNA is filed under the name uncultured bacterium. Its description in RNAcentral is "partial 16S ribosomal RNA". It matches the Rfam family "Bacterial small subunit ribosomal RNA", at positions 524 to 776 of the family's 1533-position model. The record is from RNAcentral.
UACGUAGGGGGCAAGCGUUGUCCGGAAUCAUUGGGCGUAAAGCGCGUGUAGGCGGUCCGGUAAGUCCGCUGUGAAAGUCCAGGGCUCAACCCUGGGAUGCCGGUGGAUACUGUCGGGCUAGAGUACGGAAGAGGCGAGUGGAAUUCCCGGUGUAGCGGUGAAAUGCGCAGAUAUCAGGAGGAACACCAAUGGCGAAGGCAGCUCGCUGGGACGUGACUGACGCUGAGACGCGAAAGCGUGGGGAGCAAACAGG